This 339-nucleotide unclassified non-coding RNA is filed under the name soil metagenome. RNAcentral's name for it is "partial contains 5.8S ribosomal RNA, internal transcribed spacer 2, and large subunit ribosomal RNA". The stretch from base 2 to 120 matches the Rfam family "5.8S ribosomal RNA", at positions 36 to 154 of the family's 154-position model. The record is from RNAcentral.
UAUGAAGAACGCAGCGAAAUGCGAUAACUAAUGUGAAUUGCAGAAUUCAGUGAAUCAUCGAGUCUUUGAACGCACAUUGCGCCCCCUGGUAUUCCGGGGGGCAUGCCUGUCCGAGCGUCAUUGCUGCCCUCAAGCACGGCUUGUGUGUUGGGCUCCGUCCCCCCGGGGACGGGCCCGAAAGGCAGCGGCGGCACCGAGUCCGGUCCUCGAGCGUAUGGGGCUUUGUCACCCGCUCUGUAGGCCCGGCCGGCGCCAGCCGACAACCCAUCAUCCUUUUCAGGUUGACCUCGGAUCAGGUAGGGAUACCCGCUGAACUUAAGCAUAUCAAUAAGCGGAGGA